This 337-nucleotide unclassified non-coding RNA is filed under the name soil metagenome. RNAcentral's name for it is "partial contains 5.8S ribosomal RNA, internal transcribed spacer 2, and large subunit ribosomal RNA". The stretch from base 1 to 120 matches the Rfam family "5.8S ribosomal RNA", at positions 35 to 154 of the family's 154-position model. The record is from RNAcentral.
GAUGAAGAACUUAGCGAAAUGCGAUAAGUAGUGUGAAUUGCAGAAUUCAGUGAAUCAUCGAAUCUUUGAACGCACAUUGCGCCCCUUGGUAUUCCAUGGGGCAUGCCUGUUCGAGCGUCAUUUGUACCUUCAAGCUCUGCUUGGUGUUGGGUGUUUGUCUCGCCUUUGCGUGUAGACUCGCCUUAAAACCAUUGGCAGCCGGCGUAUUGAUUUCGGAGCGCAGUACAUCUCGCGCUUUGCACUCAGAACGACGACGUCCAAAAGUACAUUUUUACACUCUUGACCUCGGAUCAGGUAGGGAUACCCGCUGAACUUAAGCAUAUCAAUAAGCGGAGGA